UACACACCGCCCGUCGCACCUACCGAUUGAAUGAUUCGGUGAAAAUUUCGGAUUGCAGCAUUGACACCUUCGGGUGACUUUGCCGUGAGAAGUUAUUUAAACCUCAUCAUUUAGAGGAAGGUGAAGUCGUAACAAGGUUUCCG
Molecule: ribosomal RNA, 143 nt
Filed under: uncultured eukaryote
Lineage: Eukaryota
Description: partial small subunit ribosomal RNA
Rfam family: Eukaryotic small subunit ribosomal RNA
Source: RNAcentral